RNAcentral lists this transfer RNA (72 nucleotides) under Myotis lucifugus (little brown bat). It matches the Rfam family "tRNA". From Rfam's summary of the family: Transfer RNA (tRNA) molecules are approximately 80 nucleotides in length. Their secondary structure includes four short double-helical elements and three loops (D, anti-codon, and T loops). The record is from Rfam by way of RNAcentral. Lineage: Eukaryota; Metazoa; Chordata; Mammalia; Chiroptera; Vespertilionidae.
GCUGUUUUGGCUCAGUGGAUAGAGCGUCGGCCUAUAGACUGAAGGGUCCUGGUUCAAUUCCAGCCAAGGGCA